Molecule: unclassified non-coding RNA, 23 nt
Filed under: Dictyostelium discoideum
Lineage: Eukaryota; Evosea; Eumycetozoa; Dictyosteliales; Dictyosteliaceae
Source: RNAcentral
GCAAAUUGGGCAACUGAUUUGUA